AUCAUAGACAGAUGCAAUGAUGCAGUGUGUGUCUUUUGGGCGCCAAAACAUACUGCGGAGCAAGUGGCGCAACCGACUGUCCAAGUU
This 87-nucleotide non-coding RNA is filed under the name Chloroflexota bacterium. RNAcentral's name for it is "Chloroflexi bacterium c-di-GMP sequence". It matches the Rfam family "Cyclic di-GMP-II riboswitch aptamer". Lineage: Bacteria; Bacillati; Chloroflexota. The record is from RNAcentral.